Pecten maximus is the source of this 781-nucleotide long non-coding RNA. RefSeq lists it as uncharacterized. The record is from RefSeq and is a predicted model, not a curated record. The transcript has 2 exons. Lineage: Eukaryota; Metazoa; Mollusca; Bivalvia; Pectinida; Pectinidae.
ACAGGUUAUUGGACAUAUUGAGGAAUUACAGAACAAACACUAAAACACAGGUUAUUGUACAUAUUGAGGACCUACAAAACAAACACUAAAACACAGGUUAUUGUACAUAUUGAGGACCUACAAAACAAACACUAAAACACAGGUUAUUGGACAUAUUGAGGACUUACAGAACAAACACUAAAACACAGGUUAUUGGACAUAUUGAGGACCUACAGAACAAACACUAAAACACAGGUUAUUGUACAUAUUGAGGACCUUCAGAACAAAUACUAAAACACAGUCUAUUGGACACAUUGAGGACCUACAGAACAAACACUAAAACACAGGUUAUUGGACAUAUUGAGGACCUACAGAACAAACACUAAAACACAGGUUAUUGUACAUAUUGAGGACCUUCAGAACAAAUACUAAAAUACAGUCUAUUGGACAUAUUGAGGACCUACAAAACCAACACUAAAACACAGUCUAUUGUACAUAUUGAGGACCUACAAAACAAACACUAAAACACAGGUUAUUGGACAUAUUGAGGACCUACAGAACAAACACUAAAACACAGGUUAUUGGACAUAUUGAGGACCUACAGAACAAACACUAAAACACAGUCUAUUGUACAUAUUGAGGACCUUCAGAACAAACACUAAAACACAGUCUAUUGGACACAUUGAGAACCUCCAGAACAAACACUAAAAUAUAUCAUAUUUAGACAAUUAUUUUCAACUGCUUCAUUGUCUACUUGUUAUUGCGAUAUACUUUUUACAAUAAAAAUGCUUGUUAAACUUGU